This 301-nucleotide ribosomal RNA is filed under the name uncultured bacterium. RNAcentral describes it as "partial 16S ribosomal RNA". It matches the Rfam family "Bacterial small subunit ribosomal RNA", at positions 509 to 807 of the family's 1533-position model. The record is from RNAcentral.
CAGCAGCCGCGGUAAUACGUAGGUGGCAAGCGUUGUCCGGAAUUAUUGGGCGUAAAGGGCUCGCAGGCGGUUUCUUAAGUCUGAUGUGAAAGCCCCCGGCUCAACCGGGGAGGGUCAUUGGAAACUGGGAAACUUGAGUGCAGAAGAGGAGAGUGGAAUUCCACGUGUAGCGGUGAAAUGCGUAGAGAUGUGGAGGAACACCAGUGGCGAAGGCGACUCUCUGGCCUGUAACUGACGCUGAGGAGCGAAAGCGUGGGGAGCGAACAGGAUUAGAUACCCCCGUAGUCCCUGUCUCUUAUAC